CCUGGACCCGAAGCGGGAUGAUCUAGCCCUGGGCAGGUUGAAGCGCGGGUAAGACCGCGUGGAGGACCGAACCCACCUGGGUUGAAAACCGGGGGGAUGACCUGGGGCUAGGGGUGAAAGGCCAAUCAAAUUCCGUGAUAGCUGGUUCUCUCCGAAAUGCAUUUAGGUGCAGCGUCGGUCGAUUGCGUCGCGGGGGUAGAGCUACCGGAUGCUUGCGGGCCCUUGUUGGGUACCAACAGCAGCCGAACUCCGAAUACCGUUGACGUGUAUUCCGGCAGUGAGUCGGCGGGGGAUAAGCUCCGUCGUCGAGAGGGAGACAGCCCAGACCGUCGUCUAAGGUCCCGAAGCGUGUGCUAAGUGGGAAAGGAUGUGGAGUCGCAUAGACAGCCAGGAGGUUGGCUCAGAAGCAGCCAUCCUUGAAAGAGUGCGUAACAGCUCACUGGUCUAGUGGUUCCGCGCCGACAAUGUAGCGGGGCUCAAGCACACCACCGAAGACGCGGCAGUACUUCUGUACUGGGUAGGAGAGCGUCCCGUGCGGGGCGAAGCGGCGGCGUGAGCCUGUCGUGGACCGCACGGGAGUGAGAAUGCAGACAUGAGUAGCGAGAGACGGGUGAGGAUCCCGUCCGCUGGAUGACCAAGGGUUCCGGGGCCACGUUCAUCGUCCCCGGGUUAGUCGGGUCCUAAGGCGAGGCCGACAGGCGUAGUCGAAUGGACGAACGGGUCGAUAUUCCCGUACCGGCUUUGGACCGACCGGUCCGAGACCGGGUUGCUAACCUCCGUUCCGGUUCCGUGCCCUCCUUCGGGUGGGUGUGGGUCCGGCGCGUUGGGAACCGCCCGGCAGUAGGGCAGCGCAGGAGUGACACGGACGGGUAGCCGGCCGCGGAGGUGGUUUUCCGUGGUCAAGCACGCAGCCAGUCAUGUAGGCAAAUCCGCAUGGCGCGCAUGGCGAGGUGUGAUGAUGGGAGCCGUUAUGGCUCGAUAUCCGGUUGUCCAGGCCGUCGAGAAAAGCCUCGGCGUGAGGGCCAUGGCCGCCCGUACCCCAAACCGACACUGGUGGUCAGGUAGAGAAUACCAAGGCGAUCGAGCGAAUCCUGGUCAAGGAACUCGGCAAAUCACUCCCGUGCCUUCGGUAUAAGGGAGACCCGCUGGGGUGAAGGACCUUGCGUCCGGAGCUUUGGUGGGUGGCACAGACCAGGGGGUAGCGACUGUUUACCAAAAACACAGGUGCAUGCGAAGGCGAAAGCCGCUGUAUAUGCACUGACGCCUGCCCGGUGCCGGAAGGUUAAGAGGAUCCGUCAACUCUUCGGAGCGAAGCGGUGAAUUCAAGCCCCGGUAAACGGCGGUGGUAACUAUAACCAUCCUAAGGUAGCGAAAUUCCUUGUCGGGUAAGUUCCGACCUGCACGAAUGGCGUAACGACUUCCCCACUGUCUCGACCAGGAGCUCGGCGAAAUUGCAGUACGAGUAAAGAUGCUCGUUAAGCGCAGAAGGACGAAAAGACCCCGGGACCUUUACUAUACCUUGGUAUUGGCGUUAGGCGCGGAUUGUGUAGCAUAGGCGGGAGGCUUCGAAGCGUGGGCGCCAGCUCAUGUGGAGCCGCAAGGUGAAAUACCGCUCUGUUCUCGUUUGACGUCUAACCUCGACAAGUCAUCCUUGUCAGGGACAGUGCCUGGCGGGUAGUUCAACUGGGGCGGUUGCCUCCCAAAGAGUAACGGAGGCGCUCAAAGGUCCGCUCAGCCCGGUUGGCAAUCGGGUGUCGAGUGUAAUCGCACAAGCGGGCUUGACUGCGAGGACGACGGUCCGAGCAGGGACGAAAGUCGGAGAUAGUGAUCCGGUGCCGGCGCACGGGCGCGGCAUCGCUCAACGGAUAAAAGGUACCCCGGGGAUAACAGGCUGAUCAUUCCCAAGAGUCCAUAUCGACGGGAUGGUUUGGCACCUCGAUGUCGGCUCGUCGCAUCCUGGGGCUGGAGCAGGUCCCAAGGGUUCGGCUGUUCGCCGAUUAAAGCGGCACGCGAGCUGGGUUCAGAACGUCGUGAGACAGUUUGGUCUCUAUCCUCUGCGCUCGUUGGAAUCCUGAGGAGGCCUGCCCAUAGUACGAGAGGACCUGGGUGGACGAACCUCUGGUAUGCCGGUUGUCGCGCCAGCGGCACGGCCGGUUGGCUACGUUCGG
This 2168-nucleotide ribosomal RNA is filed under the name human gut metagenome. RNAcentral's name for it is "bacterial LSU rRNA". It matches the Rfam family "Bacterial large subunit ribosomal RNA", at positions 708 to 2758 of the family's 2925-position model. The record is from RNAcentral.